This 211-nucleotide ribosomal RNA is filed under the name Klebsiella pneumoniae. Its description in RNAcentral is "partial 16S ribosomal RNA". It matches the Rfam family "Bacterial small subunit ribosomal RNA", at positions 1021 to 1232 of the family's 1533-position model. Lineage: Bacteria; Pseudomonadati; Pseudomonadota; Gammaproteobacteria; Enterobacterales; Enterobacteriaceae. The record is from RNAcentral.
CGGGAACUGUGAGACAGGUGCUGCAUGGCUGUCGUCAGCUCGUGUUGUGAAAUGUUGGGUUAAGUCCCGCAACGAGCGCAACCCUUAUCCUUUGUUGCCAGCGGUCCGGCCGGGAACUCAAAGGAGACUGCCAGUGAUAAACUGGAGGAAGGUGGGGAUGACGUCAAGUCAUCAUGGCCCUUACGACCAGGGCUACACACGUGCUACAAUG